AAUCUGUGAGGGGACACCGUUCUCGGUGACAGAGGAUAUAGACUUCUAAGAUUUCCAUUUAGACCCACAUAACCCGCUAGUUCUUCCAAUGUCGGUGUGAGCUCGAAGUCAUAGAAGUGGAACACAUUGCAAGUUGUGUCCCAAAAUGGUAUUAAGCCUUAAAUUAUGUCUGAACUUGGCUUGAUGUUUAAUAAACGGAUGAGGCCUCCCAAAACUCUUGUCACUGUUUCCCUACUACCUUUUCCCAAUUUAUC
RNAcentral lists this long non-coding RNA (254 nucleotides) under Nicotiana benthamiana. Its description in RNAcentral is "long non-coding RNA (NBEN_LNC040755)". Lineage: Eukaryota; Viridiplantae; Streptophyta; Magnoliopsida; Solanales; Solanaceae. The record is from RNAcentral.